Long non-coding RNA from Arabidopsis lyrata subsp. lyrata, 1329 nucleotides. RefSeq lists it as uncharacterized. Lineage: Eukaryota; Viridiplantae; Streptophyta; Magnoliopsida; Brassicales; Brassicaceae. The record is from RefSeq and is a predicted model, not a curated record. The transcript is spliced from 2 exons.
AUGCCCACCCCUAUUAACCGUAAUUUGUUGCUCUGUGCGCUCUGUUUUUUGUUUAAGCUUGUUGCUACAAAGAGUGAGAUUAUCGAAUUGUUUGAUGGUGUUCUCCAUUUCUCUAUAGGUUAUCAAACUCUCCACAACUUUGCUGAAUUCUUCCCGCAUUGUCUUUGUACCGGACCUUGUCCUAGGUGGUUGAUACAUAGUCGGUGAUUGCUCGAGUAAUUACCCGAUACACUUAACCGAAAGGUAGUAUAUACGGGGUCGAUCGACAAGAACCAAUGGUACACUAAAGAUUUCCGAGACUCGUUUUUAGCUAAAGCGGAAAGGUUGUUUGUUUGGUUUUCAGAUUGUAAAAUAAAAAUGCAAGUAAUUUAAACGAUUAAACUUAUGGAUUUAAAGACAUUGGGCCAUAGGGUAUUUCAGAGAUCAAUAAAUAAUGGAAACAUGAGACAAAGAAUUCAACAAAGAUGACCAAGUUGUUGUGUUACUUGAUCCUGAAAGACAGUGGGAAGGCGAAACUCUCAGUUUCUUCCACAUGUAGAUAGAUUUCAUUUGGUUGCGUUCAUGACAUUGACGACCUUGUAUCUGUCUCUUAUCAACUUUGAAUGUCCUUUGUUCAUAAUGCAGACCGGACCCUGGAGUAGAUACCGAGCUAUGCUCUUCCACAGGAUAAUUCAAAAUGGCUUGAACCUUGGUUUGGUGCCUUCCGAGGAGGUUCUGCACAAAAUUUAUUUGAUUUUGUAGCAAAGUCCUGAGAGGAUCAGUUGUUUAUUUGUGCUUCUUCAUGCUAUAACUGAUACAGCGAGAGGAUCAGUUGUUUAUUUUCCCAGUUUGGCUUCCUGCACCAACUCUCUGUCUCUGUCUUCUCUUGAUGAGACCACUGGACCAGACAGCAUAGACACCCUGCUGUUAUACCGAAAAACAGAAAAGGCUUGCUGGAAGAGAGUGGAAUCGGAAUCGUAGAAUUGCUUCAGUUCUCAACGUCUUGGGAGUUACUACUCUUCUUGCUCAUCUUCCUCUUUGUUUCAUUUGAGAAAAUCACAAGGGUUUCAAUGUACAAGGUCGAUUGAUGUUUGCGCUUUGCUCUACAAACUCAGAAGCCUCUAUUGAUGAAAUUGCAGAAUGCAGAGGCUUUUGGAAGACUCAAAUGAUGAUUGGUGGUGAGGCUACCUCGCUAGUGUAUCAAUUGUUUUCUCAAAAGCUUUAGAUGUUGAAAUAAGCUUCUUAGAGCAUGAAUAUUGGUUGAAAUGUUGAGUAUGUUAGACAAAUCUUAGCAUUAAAGUUGAUUAAAAAUAAUCAAACCAACAUCUUAAAGUUAAGAUUUGUAUCUAA